This 30-nucleotide non-coding RNA is filed under the name Mus musculus (house mouse). The record is from RNAcentral. Lineage: Eukaryota; Metazoa; Chordata; Mammalia; Rodentia; Muridae.
UAAGAGUAUUUUGUGUUCCACUUUCAUGUA